ACUUCCUUAUAUUUUAAUUUUAUUCCAUCAUACGACUUACUUUUAGGGCAUAUUUGAUUGGCCAAAAGUGAAGCAUAGAAAGUGACAUUUUUAAAAAAUGACAUCUUAUCGGUUGGUUUGUGAAAUUAAUAUAAAAGUCACUUUACAAAAAUUGGUUGAUAAAUUGAGUUAUAACUAAAUCACACUUUUUUGACUUCACCUAAAAAAAUUUCAAAAUCAUCGAAAAUAAA
Molecule: long non-coding RNA, 230 nt
Filed under: Ananas comosus (pineapple)
Lineage: Eukaryota; Viridiplantae; Streptophyta; Magnoliopsida; Poales; Bromeliaceae
Description: long non-coding RNA (ACOM_LNC044107)
Source: RNAcentral